Molecule: long non-coding RNA, 188 nt
Organism: Varanus komodoensis (Komodo dragon)
Lineage: Eukaryota; Metazoa; Chordata; Lepidosauria; Squamata; Varanidae
Exons: 3
Source: RefSeq, a predicted model, not a curated record
CGAGGCCAGGCUCGGUCUGCUUUCCUUAUCACUAACUGGGAGCGGAAUAUGGACAGGCACUGCAAAUGGUGGCUGUGUGUGCCGGGGCGAAGAAAGCGGAGCGACCCAAGUUCUUGACAGGAAGCAACAAAGGGCGAGCCGUUGGAGGACGGGUGGAGUGCCACUAUGAGCAAUGUUGGAAAGCCAGC